Small nuclear RNA from Rhinolophus ferrumequinum (greater horseshoe bat), 105 nucleotides. NCBI's taxonomy places the organism in Eukaryota, Metazoa, Chordata, Mammalia, Chiroptera, Rhinolophidae. The record is from Ensembl.
GUUCUCUUCGGCAGCACAUAUGUUAAAAUUGGAACGAUUCAGAAAAGGUUAGCGUGGCCCCUGUGCAAAGAUGACGUGCAAAUUCAUGAAGUGUUCCAUAUUUUA